CUGUCAGCUCAGUCCUGCCUUUCCUUGUCCUUUCUUUAUUUUAUCUGACAUCCUCCUGGCUUAUUGAAACGUUUACAUUUCCUAUGUUGUCAAACUCUGAAUCUCAUUUCAACCUUUCUUAGGAUAUCCUUUGACACAGUCCCAGGAAAAGCAGGUUCUCUGCUUUCUGACGUCAGCUGCCAAGAGUAUUCUGUGUCUCCUGCUCUGCCUCCAUGGACUAGAGGUUGGGAUUCUCAUGACAUCCAGAAGGUCUUGUGGCUGCAGAGCAAGGGUGAACAUCCUGUAGUCCCACUUGCGUCCUCUGGCGCCCACCCAGGGAAGGCACAGGGUAGCGCUGCAGACUGAAGCCCCUCGGCCCUGGCAGGGGAGGACAUGAAAGAUACCCACCAAGGAAAAAAGAGCCAUGUGCCCAGGACCUGCUGUGGAUGGCCCCACCCUCGCCCAUGUUAGAAGCCCCCGUGGAAGCCUCCAGAUAGGAGCCCAGCAUAAUUGUCUCCUGAGAGGCUCCACCCAGCAGCAGAUGGAGACAGAUGCAGAGACAGCAAUGAAACAACAGGCAGAGCUCCGGAGUCUUGUGGAAGAGGAGGAGGGGAACAUUGAGGGAGGAGGGGUCAAGGACAGCAUAAGAAGACCUACAAAGUCACCUAGCCUGGGCCCAUAGGAGACUGAACCAACAACCAAAGAGCAUGCAUUGGGCUGGACCUCGGGUCCCUACACAUAUGUAGCAGAUGUGCAGCAUGGUGUCCAUAUGGGUCUCAUAACAAGUAGAGUACAUGGGGCGGGGGUGACUCUGACUCUGUUGCCUCCUGUCCGAUCCCUUUCCCUGUCCCCGCCAGCGGGGACCCAGUUAUUCAGGGUCCCGAAGAGGCUUUCUACCUGUGGGCCAAAUGGGGGUGAAGAGAAGAAGGAGACCAAGCAAAAGUUCUGUUGUCAAGGUCUCGUUUAUUGGGGUGAACGUUACAGCUUUUAAGGCUUUCAGGUAGGGGGAGUGUCCUUUGUGAAACACGAAGGAUGGAGGGGCGAGGGUAUAGGCAGUGAUAGCAGGAGGCAAAGAGGUCAGGCGGUAGAGGCAUCCCUUGAAUGUUAUCUUCCUGUGCCGUAAAUUCAUGGGAGAGGCUUUUGUCCAACAAUCUUAAGACUUAUGGCAGUCAUCUUAGGGGUGAAUAUCUGUGGCCAAACAGCCCAGAGUCACCUAGCCACUUUGAGCCAUGCAGUCAAAAAGCGGCCAGGCCCAAAUCCAAUACGGCUCCCUACAUUUCCCCUGCUCUGUGUAGCCUUACUGGGAGAGGAUGCAUGUAGUUCUAGUGCGGCUUGAUGUGCCAGGUGGGUUGGUACCCAUGGGCGGGGAGGCUUCCUUCUUAGAGGAGAAGGGGAAGGAGAGAUGGGGAAGGGGGAUGUGAGGGUGUACCUGAGAGGAGAGGAAGAAGGGCUGUGAUCGAAAUGAAAAGUGAAGAAAUAAAUGGAGGAAAGAUCCUGUUUGCUUA
Non-coding RNA from Rattus norvegicus (Norway rat), 1484 nucleotides. The record is from RefSeq and is a predicted model, not a curated record. Lineage: Eukaryota; Metazoa; Chordata; Mammalia; Rodentia; Muridae.